UUGUGGAGGAGGACGCCGAAGGUGGGGCUAAUGACUGGGGUGAAGUCGUAACAAGGUAGCCGUACCGGAAGGUGCGGCUGGAUCACCUCCUAACAGGGAGACAACAAAAUGUUAAAUAUUAAUUUUGUCACCUUAGGUCGAUCGGUAUCUCACAUUCUUAAUCUAUUUAAGGAUUUUAUUUCCUAAGUUUUUUCUAGGUCACACCCAUUACUUUUCCUGGGCCAUUAGCUCAGGUGGUUAGAGCGCACCCCUGAUAAGGGUGAGGUCCCUGGUUCAAGUCCAGGAUGGCCCAUAUCUCUAUGUUGGGGGUAUAGCUCAGUUGGUAGAGCGCCUGCUUUGCAAGCAGGAUGUCAGCGGUUCGAGUCCGCUUACCUCCACUGAUCACCACCUCUUCCAUAAAUAUAGAAGGGAAAUGUUUUGAGUAGUGAUCAAAUUCUGAACGAAUCUAGCUUCCUAAUUUAACUAAUUAAGAUGCUGGACUCAUUGAAUUAAUUUUCAUUGUUUUCAGAGAACCUUGACAACUGCAUAGAUUAUUUUUAAAGACAAUAAGCAUCUUUAAUGAUGCAGAUUUAUUAUUUUUGCUAAUGCAUUAAUAACAAUUCUAUUAAGCUGAUGCUUCAAAUUUUGAAGUUAUUGGUCAAGCUACAA
Molecule: unclassified non-coding RNA, 648 nt
Filed under: uncultured Prochlorococcus sp.
Lineage: Bacteria; Bacillati; Cyanobacteriota; Cyanophyceae; Synechococcales; Prochlorococcaceae
Description: partial 16S-23S ribosomal RNA intergenic spacer; may also contain 16S ribosomal RNA and 23S ribosomal RNA
Rfam family: tRNA (bases 305-377)
Source: RNAcentral